UCGCUUUGGCAGCACAUAUACUAAAAAACUGGACUGAUACAGAGAAGAUUAGCCUGGUACCUGUGUGAGGAUGAGAAGCAAAUUUGUGAAGCAUUCUAUAAACAA
Molecule: small nuclear RNA, 105 nt
Organism: Rhinolophus ferrumequinum (greater horseshoe bat)
Lineage: Eukaryota; Metazoa; Chordata; Mammalia; Chiroptera; Rhinolophidae
Source: Ensembl